AGCUUUGUGCAGUGGCAGUAUCGUAGCCAGUGAGGUUUAUCCGAGGUGUGAUUAUUGCUAAUUGUAAAAUUGGGAAUUUAUUGAAAUGGGACAAUUUAUUGCAAAAAUGAGAAAUUUGCUAGAGCUUUUGUGUU
Molecule: small nuclear RNA, 134 nt
Organism: Zalophus californianus (California sea lion)
Lineage: Eukaryota; Metazoa; Chordata; Mammalia; Carnivora; Otariidae
Gene: U4
Rfam family: U4 spliceosomal RNA
About the family: U4 small nuclear RNA (U4 snRNA) is a component of the major U2-dependent spliceosome. The structure of U4 snRNA from yeast and human has been reported. U4 snRNA presents a k-turn RNA motif in the 5p-SL related to recognition of Snu13 protein.
Source: Ensembl